This 253-nucleotide unclassified non-coding RNA is filed under the name uncultured Eubacteriales bacterium. RNAcentral's name for it is "contains 16S-23S intergenic spacer region". It matches the Rfam family "Bacterial small subunit ribosomal RNA", at positions 524 to 776 of the family's 1533-position model. The record is from RNAcentral. Lineage: Bacteria; Bacillati; Bacillota; Clostridia; Eubacteriales.
UACGUAGGUGGCAAGCGUUGUCCGGAUUUACUGGGUGUAAAGGGCGUGUAGGCGGGCGCUUAAGUCAGACGUGAAAUACCGGAGCUCAACUCCGGGGCUGCGUUUGAAACUGGGUGUCUUGAGUGCUGGAGAGGAUAGUGGAAUUCCUAGUGUAGCGGUGAAAUGCGUAGAGAUUAGGAGGAACACCAGUGGCGAAGGCGACUAUCUGGACAGUAACUGACGCUGAGGCGCGAAAGUGUGGGGAGCAAACAGG